This 970-nucleotide non-coding RNA is filed under the name Hemigalus derbyanus (banded palm civet). RNAcentral's name for it is "12S ribosomal RNA". It matches the Rfam family "Bacterial small subunit ribosomal RNA". Lineage: Eukaryota; Metazoa; Chordata; Mammalia; Carnivora; Viverridae. The record is from RNAcentral.
AAAGGUUUGGUCCUAGCCUUCCCAUUAGUUAUUAAUAAAAUUACACAUGCAAGCUUCCGCAACCCGGUGAAAAUGCCCUUCAAAUCAUUUAUGAUAUAAAGGAGCGGGUAUCAAGCACACAAUAACCGUAGCUCACAACACCUUGCUCAGCCACACCCCCACGGGAUACAGCAGUGACAAAAAUUAAGCUAUGAAUGAAAGUUCGACUAAGUUAUAUUAAAUUAGGGCUGGUAAAUUUCGUGCCAGCCACCGCGGCCAUACGAUUAACCCAAACUAAUGGUCCCACGGCGUAAAGCGUGUUAUAGAAUAACAUUCCAUGCUAAAGUUAAAUCUUAACUAGGCUGUAAAAAGCUACAGUUAACACAAAAAUAUAACACGAAAGUAACUUUAAUACAUCAAAUCACACGAUAGCUAAGACCCAAACUGGGAUUAGAUACCCCACUAUGCUUAGCCUUAAACUUAAAUAGUUAAAUAAACAAAACUAUUCGCCAGAGAACUACUAGCAAUAGCCUAAAACUCAAAGGACUUGGCGGUGCUUUAUAUCCCUCUAGAGGAGCCUGUUCUAUAAUCGAUAAACCCCGAUAAACCUUACCACCCCUUGCUAAUACAGUCUAUAUACCGCCAUCUUCAGCAAACCCUAAAAAGGAAGAACAGUAAGCAUAAAUAUUAUUAACAUAAAAAAGUUAGGUCAAGGUGUAACCCAUGAGGUGGAAAGCAAUGGGCUACAUUUUCUGUGUCAGAACAUAACAUUUACGAAAAUUCUUAUGAAACUAAGAAUUAAAGGAGGAUUUAGCAGUAAAUUGAGAAUAGAGUGCUCAAUUGAAUAGGGCCAUAAAGCACGCACACACCGCCCGUCACCCUCCUCAAGUGACAAAAAAUUUAAAAUAAACUAUUUAANNNNAUCUAAAAAAAUCAUAAGAGGAGACAAGUCGUAACAAGGUAAGCAUACUGGAAGGUGUGCUUGGAUAAA